Drosophila suzukii is the source of this 1811-nucleotide non-coding RNA. Lineage: Eukaryota; Metazoa; Arthropoda; Insecta; Diptera; Drosophilidae. The record is from RefSeq and is a predicted model, not a curated record.
CUACCCUAAACAAUAUAUUGAAAUCGAGGGUAGGUGACGCUUCACAAUAUCGCUUUGCUGCUUGCAUAUCUGAUAGUAGAGGUACUAGAGUUCUUUCUUGUCCUAUUAAGAAGUGUUUGAGCUGGGGAUUAUCAAACGACAAUUUCUAGGGCAGCCACACUGAAAGAGUUGUUGUUGCUGAAAAAUUUGACGUCUGACAAUUCAGUACAAUAUUUUUUCUCGCACGUUAUCACGUCCGAUGAAAAUUAAAGUAGAUACUCCUUAAAAUUUGAAAGGACAUACCCCUGCCUACAAGAGGAGUUUAUAUAAGUAAUUUUCAGCGAUGAUAUGCUGAAGUAGAUUACAUCAUAUGACAGUGGAACAACAGUACAUUAGGCAGCCGCAAUGAAGGACGCUAAGCAAGCCAUAAAGACAUGAUGCCAACGAAGGACAAGGACAAGCGUAUGAAUUCUUAGUCAAACAAGUCUUUGGACAGCGCCUUAGUGCCGACAGUAGAUCCAGAAAACCCUUAGCCCUUGCAAACAGACACCUCCUCUGUACUUCUUUUGUCCUGUACACCGAUCUUAAAAACGUCGCCGCAAGUGAUCGUCGACAAGAAUCCAAUGCCACCACCAAAUUCAUCUAGGAUAGUCAAGCCCCGCCGAUUACCCAACAAUUACAAGGUGAAACAGGAGCCGAUAGAACGCAGGUCGGUGCCAAAACCUGCUGCCAUCGUCAAUGAGAAGAGUGCCAAGCUAACGCCCACGAAACCAAGAGCCAUUGAUCUUAAACGAGAGAUAGCCAAGGAGCAGAUAAAGGCCUGAUGUCCAGGAAGGUGCAUCAAAUCGUGUCCCCCGGAGAAUGAUUGGCAGACUAGCUCCACAUUUCACCUUGAGGAUGUCAUUGACAGAAACAUGUCAAAAUACCCUUUAAUAACUAGCCGAAAGCAGGUACAGUGUCUUCAGCAUUUCGUCUCCCUCAGCCGUGGUCAUGGCAAACACUUGGAUCAUUCCCGACUCGUAGAGUCUAGCUGAGACUCCGCACAUUUCCUUAUUCACAUAUUAGACGAAGUUCAUUUCACGAAGGAGUGGUUCUGAGGAUAGUGCGCAGACCUCACUAAAUUUCUGCAAAUUUACGGUCCAAGGUUAGUUGGCACCGUAAAAGUAACGUAAGCAUAUGAGUGUAAGAGCCUUGAAAUUCACCAUUUCGAUAGUCUUCGUCACGAUAUCGCUUUGGGCUUCGGCCAACAUUGCGCUACUUCUUCAGUUGAUAAUCAUCACAAUGCCAUUGACUCAUAUCCAGCCUAUCUGAUAUCGCACUUCGAUCACAUCUGACAUAGAUGUUGGGCAUAUAUGUCGGGUGUGAUCGAAGUGCGACAGGAACAAGGAAAUGCCCGGAAUGACGGCUAGACUUUUUGAAUCGGGAAUGAUGCCAGUGUUUCCCAUGACCACGGCUGAGGCGGAUGAAGUGUUGAAGAAACUGUUCCUGUUUUCGGCUAGUUAUUAAAGGCUCGAAAAAUGUACCGAAAGAAACAAAAAAAUGUUCCAUGAUCGCGCAAUCAUUAAUAGAAUUCACUUCCAUAAUUCCGUGUAAGGAGCUUGGGGAUAUAAAAUGUUACUGUGGACGGCAGUGCACAGGAGACUAACAUAUAUAUUUAAAAAGCACAAUGGAAUCGUCGCUGCUCCAGUGGUCGCCAAGAACGCAGCUGCUCCUUUGGCCUAUUCUUCAACUUUGGCUUACUACUCCCCCUUGGCCUACUCCGCCCCCCUUAGCUACGCCGCUGAUCCAGCACCUCUCUUCAUUUAAUCAAAUGUAAAAUGUGAUAUAUUAUA